This is a long non-coding RNA of Nomascus leucogenys (northern white-cheeked gibbon), 2076 nucleotides long. RefSeq lists it as uncharacterized. The transcript is spliced from 4 exons. Lineage: Eukaryota; Metazoa; Chordata; Mammalia; Primates; Hylobatidae. The record is from RefSeq and is a predicted model, not a curated record.
UUAGCCAUUCAGCAGUUUAUGACCUCGGUUUACUAAGUCCUCGUAACAAGAUUACCGGAGGGGUUUUGCAAGCUUCUAGACCCAGGUGUGGCUGAAGGUCCAUGCGGUGAGAUGGCUGACUGACAGAAGGAAGUUGUUCUCUGGGGUGUGUGUGACCCAAAGACCAAUGGAGGGAGGAAGAACAGAUGCUCCAAAUGGCCACUGCACUUCUCCAAUGUCUGAAGAUUUCCAGAUGGACAGCACCAUCACAUGCCCACGCAGCGUGGAUACAGCCACAUCCAGGGCUCGGGCGCGGGCAUAGUCUUUGCUCCCUACUUACGGCUGUAAGCAGUCCCACCUCAGCUUCACAUCCAAGCUGGCUAAGAACCCUGGACAAAGAGAAUCUGUUGAGAGGAGCUUAGAGGAAGACAGGAGCAUUUUCACCAUCUCUGUUUAUCAACGGUCACAUCCUAGCUCUGGGCGCUCAUCUCUCAAUAAUAUGUUGAGAGAGGAUGGAAAAAGAAAAUCUUUCUCAUUUUCCAACUCGUACCCAUGAAGAUACAAAUAAACAAAACUCCUGACUCUUGUGAAUGUCACCAAGAAAAAAAUUAGUUGGAAGACUAACCAGUAACUCACAAGUCAACCCGGAAGUUUCUGGAAAUGAACAGGAAGCAAAGCACACCAGGGGUUGUCAGCUUUCACCGCAGCUGAGGUCUUGCACUGUCCAACCUGAUGAUGAGGUACUUCCCUGAGACCCUGGCCACCCUGCCAGCCCCAUGGCACCACUGCUAACAGGUGUGGGAUGCUGGGACCUCCACCGCCCACCUUCAGCUCAAGUCUCCAGUGUCCCCGGGCUGAUUCUCCUCACUCACUGCUCAUUUGGUCCAGCUGGCCAAGCUUGGGUCCUGUGUCCACACCCCACUGCCAGGGGUCUCGGAGAGCUAGUAGCCAGCCUUUCCUGUUUCCCUGGUGGAUGGCAGAGUCCCAAUAUGAGAAGUGGGUUCAAAUGCAAGGCAGCCAAAAAACCAGGAAAUAUUUAGCUCACUCACCUAAUCCUGGCUAUUUUCAGCUGAUCAACAAACAGAAAAGCAGAAAACCCCAAAUUUGACUGCUCUAUCUGCUUAUCCUUCUGUGAGCCCUUCUAAGCAGGCUUUGGAGAAGAGCCCCACAUGCAGCUGUGGGGUUUAAUUGAAUCCUGUUCAGGAGGAAAAGAUAGAGGUGGUUGUCAGGCAUGUGGCUCAGUUGACUAUUCAGAGUUGGAGUCUUUGCUUUUGGGCAGUGAGGUCUCAGGAGCCAGGGGACCUCGGCCAGUCCCAGUGAACUGAAUGAAGGGUCACUAGCAGAAGCAAGAGGCACCAUGGGGCCCCAGGAAGAUCAGGAGCCUGGACGUGCCUAGUUCCAGCACAUUCUGUGGAGCUGUUCACCAGCCAAGGAGCCGGGAAGUCUGGGUUCCAGCCCAGCCCUGCCUUUGCUUCUGGCAUAACUUUGAGCAGAUCUUUCAACUUUUGUGACUCAGUUUACUCAUUUGCCAAAUGGAGAUAAUCAUAUGGCACUCAAAAGACUUUUGUAAGACUCUAAUGAGUGUUUAUAAAGCACUUUGGAGAGGUUUAUAGUUAUUUGAGCUGGGAAAGGAAUUACAAAUUAUUCAGGAGUAAACAGUAUUUAGAGUCUGAAUUUUUCAGCCACCAACAGGUUUUCCUAGAUGUUUACAAGACUGUCAUAACAGGACACCCUGGGGUUCCAUCCACGCCACUUGGUUGCAUUCAGAGCAGCUCUCCUCCCUGAAAAGCGUAUCACAGGCUUGGGGAGGGUCAUGCAACCACAUAUGGCACAUUUUGCAGCUCUCAAGACAAGAGAAUGACUGGAUUUAGAAAUGGAAGCCACACACUCAAGACUUUCAUUUUCUUUUUUCUUUUUUUUUCCUUUCUUCAUUUUAAUUUUACUUUAGAAACUGGUGAUAGCAUCAGAGCAAGUCUCCAUAGACCUGCUUUGAAAGCCAGAUAGCCUGGCAUGGUUGCAUGCACGUAUAAUCUCAGCUACUCUGGAGACUGACGUGGGACGAUCACUCGAGCCAGGAGGUCAAGGCUGCAGUGAGCU